Molecule: RNA transcript, 2522 nt
Organism: Cucurbita moschata (crookneck pumpkin)
Lineage: Eukaryota; Viridiplantae; Streptophyta; Magnoliopsida; Cucurbitales; Cucurbitaceae
Gene name: probable E3 ubiquitin-protein ligase ARI2
Exons: 8
Source: RefSeq, a predicted model, not a curated record
UUAUUUACUUCAUCGGAGCGACUACCAUUUAGUCGUUGUCCUUUCACUCUCAUCGCCGGCUUUUCCAACGAUCUCCCCGGAGGGAAACGUUCUCCGGCGUUCCCCGAUUCUCCGGAUCGGAUUUAUUCAUCGAAUCUCCCUCGUUAUCGAUUGAUAUUUUUUCUUACUUGUAUUACCAACUGAGCUUUGCUUUUUUAUUUUUUUAUUUUUCCAUCUGACUUCAAUUUGUCUUCUCUUUCCCCAAUUCGAUUUCGCUAUUUCUUUCGCCAAUUUUUCAAUGGAGGACUGCAUCAGCAGCGAUGAAGACUACUAUGACUCCGAUCGUGAGUCUCUUCAGGGUCUCGAGAACGAGGACUCUGAAAUUCAGUGGGUUUCUAAAGGUUCCGCGACUAAGGUUAUUACAAAGGAAUCUCUCCUUGCUGCACAGAAGGAGGACAUGCGUAGAGUAAUGGAGUUACUAUCAUUGAGGGAGCACCAUGCUCGGACCUUACUCAUUCAUUACCGAUGGGAUGUAGAGAAAUUGUUUGCAGUACUUGUGGAGAAAGGGAAAAGUCACUUGUUUGCUACUGCUGGUGUUACUAUGAUUGAGAAUCGAAGUAAUUGUUCCUCUGAGACUUCCUCCGUGGUGAUGUGUGAUAUCUGCAUGGAGGAAGUACAUAGCAAUGAUGCAACAAGAGUGGAUUGUGGUCAUUGCUUUUGCAAUAACUGUUGGACUGAACAUUUCAUUGUGAAAAUAAAUGAGGGUCAGAGUCGUAGAAUCAGAUGCAUGGCCCACAAAUGUAAUGCAAUUUGUGAUGAAGCUGUUGUUAGGAAUCUAGUUAGUAAAAGGCAUCCAGAUCUUGCCAAUAAAUUUGAUCGUUUCCUUCUUGAAUCAUACAUCGAGGAUAACAAAAGAGUCAAGUGGUGUCCAAGCGCUCCUCAUUGCGGCAAUGCUAUACGCGUGGAGGAUGAUGAGUUCUGUGAAGUAGAAUGUUCUUGUGGUCUUCAGUUUUGUUUCAGUUGCUUAUCAGAUGCUCACUCGCCGUGUUCAUGUUUGAUGUGGGAACUUUGGAUCAAGAAGUGCCGAGAUGAAUCUGAAACUGUUAACUGGAUUACAGUUCAUACAAAGCCCUGUCCGAAGUGCCAUAAACCUGUGGAGAAGAACGGAGGCUGUAAUCUCGUCAGCUGCAUCUGUGGUCAAGCAUUUUGUUGGCUGUGUGGUGGAGCCACUGGUCGAGAGCACACUUGGUCGAGUAUUUCUGGUCAUAGUUGUGGGCGUUACAAAGAAGAAUCAGAACAGAAAGCUGAGCGAGCAAAACGGGAUUUGUACCGUUAUAUGCACUAUCAUAAUCGAUACAAAGCUCAUACAGAUUCUUUUAAGCUUGAAAGCAAAUUGAAGGAAUCCAUACAAGAGAAGAUCUCGAUUUCUGAAGAGAAGGAAUCUAUGCUCAGAGAUUUUAGUUGGGUAAACAAUGGACUGUGUAGACUUUUCAGAUCAAGGCGGGUUCUAUCAUACUCUUACCCAUUUGCGUUCUAUAUGUUUGGGGAUGAGCUAUUCAAAGACGAGAUGACUCAGGAGGAAAGGGAGAUAAGGCAGCAUCUAUUUGAGGACCAACAGCAGCAACUUGAGGCAAAUGUUGAGAAGCUCUCCAAGUUUUUAGAGGAACCGUUUGAUCAAUACACAAAAGACAGGGUAAUGGAUAUAAGGAUGCAAGUCAUCAAUCUGUCGGUUAUCACCGAUACCCUCUGCAAGAAGAUGUACGACUGUAUUGAGAAUGAUCUUCUGGGUUCACUUGAACUGGGUAUCCACAAUAUUGCUCCUUACAAGUCGAAGGGCAUUGAGAAGGCGCUGGAGCUUUCUGCUUGUUGGAACAGCAAAGCAAAUACUACAGACAAAUAUCUGCCAUCAGACUGUGGAACAAGUGGAGGAUUGUCAGAGCGGAAUAGACUGAGUAGCUUGAAUACUGAUGAGAACGGAUGCUCGUCUAGGAAGCGUGCCAGAGCUGAAGUCGUUACUGGCAACUGCUUCGAUCUAAACUUACCUGCUGAGGUUGUUGAUAGAAACUGAUCUCUCGAAGUUGCGAGUUUAUAACGUACAGUUGUACAGAUCUGACAUAAAACAUUAGCUUCGUUAGCACGGGGACAGGCAAUCGAGGAUUGGCAAUCCUAGGAAGAAAUAAUGAUAAAAGCUGGUUAUAGCUGUUGGAAUCUUUGGCAUUUCAUGAUUUUGUUUUUAGUUAAACACGGGAGUAAAGUCGAACGUUCAACUUCUUCUUGAUUGAAGAUAUGUGUUUUAACUAGUUGAGUUAUGCUAACGUUGGCAUUUUUAGUGGUUUAUGAUGGGAAGUGUCACUUUCUUGGUGGGUUAUAGCUGUUGGAAUGUUCCUCAUUUCAUGAUGAUUUUAUUUUUAGGUAAACACGUGGAGUGAAGUCUCGAACCUUCAACUUCUUGGUUGAAGAUAUGUAUUUUAACUAGUUGAGUUAUGUUUACGUUGAUGUUUUGAGUGGUUUAUAAUUGGAAGUGUCACUUUUUUGGCUGGUUA